GAUCUGGCUCAGAACGAACGCUGGUGGCGUGUCUAUACAUGCAAGUCGAGCGAGGCAGCAAUGCCGAGCGGCGAACGGGUGAGUAACGCGUAAGCAAUCUGCCCCAUAUCAGGAAAUACCCGUGCCAACGCGCGGUUAAUGUCCAGGAGAGUGGCCCUCUGCAUGGAGGGUUGACUAGAGAUUUAUCGGUAUGGGAUGAGCUUGCGUCCGAUUAGCUAGUUGGCGGGCAACGGCCCACCAAGGCGACGAUCGGUAGCCGGCCUGAGAGGGUGAUCGGCCACAUUGGGACUGAGAUACGGCCCAGACUCCUACGGGAGGCAGCAGUAGGGAAUAUUGCACAAUGGGGGAAACCCUGAUGCAGCAACGCCACGUGUGGGAAGAAGCAUUUCGGUGUGUAAACCACUGUCAUGAGGGAAUAAGGCCCUUAUCCGUAAGGGACUUGAAUGUACCUUGAGAGGAAGCACCGGCAAACUUCGUGCCAGCCGCCGC
This 489-nucleotide ribosomal RNA is filed under the name uncultured bacterium. RNAcentral's name for it is "bacterial SSU rRNA". It matches the Rfam family "Bacterial small subunit ribosomal RNA", at positions 15 to 518 of the family's 1533-position model. The record is from RNAcentral.